RNAcentral lists this ribosomal RNA (253 nucleotides) under uncultured bacterium. RNAcentral's name for it is "partial 16S ribosomal RNA". It matches the Rfam family "Bacterial small subunit ribosomal RNA", at positions 524 to 776 of the family's 1533-position model. The record is from RNAcentral.
GACAGAGGGUGCAAACGUUGUUCGGAAUUACUGGGCGUAAAGCGCGCGUAGGCGGAUCGCUAAGUCAGGGGUGAAAUCCCAGGGCUCAACCCUGGAACUGCCUUUGAUACUGACGAUCUGGAGAUCGGGAGAGGUGAGUGGAAUUCCGAGUGUAGAGGUGAAAUUCGUAGAUAUCGGGAGGAACACCGGUGGCGAAGGCGGCGACCUGGGUAGAUACUGACGCUGAGGUGCGAAAGCGUGGGGAGCAAACAGG